AUGGUGCCAGGCCGAACGAAGAAGGGGAAGAAGAAGCCCCAGUCCCCAGCCGAACCACCCCCGGCCUUCGAGCCAGCUGUCGAGCGGUCGGUGGUGCUCAACCAGGAAGCCAUGGAUAAGGUCCGCCCAGCGCUUGCCGCCGACUUCAACGAUUGGGGGAAGAUGGUGGCCUGGCCCGCAUCCCGCGCCUCUAUUGACAGGACAGUCACUGAGGUCCCCAUUCUCCUUGAUGCCCUAUGGGCCGGCCUGAUUCCCCCUUUCUCCACCUUCUUCAACGCCGUGCUUUCUCAUUACCAGAUCCAUAUGCUGCACUUAGAUCCCCAAUCCAUCAUCCUCCUUGCUGUCUUCGCCUUCGUCUGCGAGGCCAUGGUAGGUAUUGCUCCUUCCGUGGCCCUACUUCGCCAUUUCUUCUCGCUGAAGUUGACCGACCCUCGGCAGUCCUCGGGAUGCCUUAGCUUCCAGGCCGUGGCUGUGACGGCCGGCUCGGGGAUUGACUUAGAGCUCCCGACGUCUGCGAGCAGGUUCCGACAGCGGUGGGUAUUCGUGGAUGUCGGCGUGCUCAGCCCUCUGCUCUCGCUCCCGCCGGCACCCGCCGUUCCCAGCUCUGGCUGGGGCCACGAGAGGCUCGCUGACCCGCGUCUUGCCUAUGUCUGGCUCCGGUUGAAGAGGCUGAAGGAUCAUGGCGUGACUGCGCCCAUGGUGGUGAAGGAGUUCAUCCGGCGCCGUGUUGCCCCGCUCCAGCCCCAUUCUCGACCAAUGUGGACCUUGUCCGGCGGCAAGGACCGCAUGAGGCUUCACGGAUCCGGGCUUCCUCUUGAGGUGCAACAAACUGUGCUCGAGAUCCUGACGGGCGACUGGUCGCCAGCCAACAUGCCGGAGGAGGGUUGCCUCUUGUACGGCUGCUCGAACAAGGUGGAUUUCGCGAGGCAGAUGCCCCCUUUCGAUGAAUGGGGACUACGCCCGGCCGAUCUUGAAGGGCCUCGCGAGAACCCUGUCUCCGUGGCUCCCUUGCCCGCCACCGGUGCGGCGACCUCCCUGGAAGUGGGCGCAGGGGGGCGACCACUGUCGGCCGCCGGCGACGCGGCUGCUAAGGGAUCGGCGCCGCUCGGGGCUCCCGGAGGGCCGACCCACGGCUACCUGGAGAGUCAUCCUGAGGAAGCAGUCGGAGGGGCGUCGCGGCCUGAUACUCCUGAGGCUACAGCCCCUGAGGCCCCGGCGGGUCGCCGCGAGGCAGAGGCCAAGGUCUCCAUGCAGUGUGGCACCCCUGAGGUCACCUCCUCAGGAGCUACCCCAGCUACGCCCGGAGCUGGUGACCGUACCCUGGGCUUCGGCCGGCUUCGACUGAACUUCGAUGCGCUCCGGAAGAGGAAGGGGUCUCCAAGUUGCAGCGGUGAUGCCUUCUGGCCAUUGAAACAAAGGAAAUACAUCGCCAUAGACGAGUGA
Molecule: ribosomal RNA, 1443 nt
Filed under: Triticum aestivum (bread wheat)
Lineage: Eukaryota; Viridiplantae; Streptophyta; Magnoliopsida; Poales; Poaceae
Description: partial small subunit ribosomal RNA
Source: RNAcentral